Non-coding RNA from Caenorhabditis elegans, 21 nucleotides. The record is from Ensembl. NCBI's taxonomy places the organism in Eukaryota, Metazoa, Nematoda, Chromadorea, Rhabditida, Rhabditidae.
UAAAAAGGUAAUCUUUAAAAG